GACCCGCACAAGCGGUGGAGCAUGUGGUUUAAUUCGAAGCAACGCGAAGAACCUUACCUGAUCUUGACAUCCCGGUGACCGGAACUUAAUCGUUCCUUCUCUUCGGAGCACUGGAGACAGGUGGUGCAUGGUUGUCGUCAGCUCGUGUCGUGAGAUGUUGGGUUAAGUCCCGCAACGAGCGCAACCCUUAUCUUUAGUAGCCAGCACGUAAGGUGGGCACUCUAGAGAGACUGCCAGGGACAACCUGGAGGAAGGUGGGGAUGACGUCAAAUCAUCAUGCCCCUUAUGACCAGGGCUACACACGUGCUACAAUGGCGUAAACAAAGGGAAGCGAACAUGUGAAUGUGAGCAAAUCCCAAAAAUAACGUCUCAGUUCGGAUUGUAGUCUGCAACUCGACUACAUGAAGCUGGAAUCGCUAGUAAUCGCGAAUCAGAAUGUCGCGGUGAAUACGUUCCCGGGUCUUGUACACACCGCCCGUCACACCAUGGGAGUCAGUAACGCCCGAAGCCGGUGACCCAACCAAAUGGAGGGAGCCGUCGAAGGUGGGACCGAUAACUGGGGUGAAGUCGUAACAAGGUAACCGU
Molecule: ribosomal RNA, 585 nt
Filed under: uncultured bacterium
Lineage: Bacteria
Description: bacterial SSU rRNA
Rfam family: Bacterial small subunit ribosomal RNA
Source: RNAcentral